RNAcentral lists this unclassified non-coding RNA (428 nucleotides) under Hevea brasiliensis (rubber tree). Lineage: Eukaryota; Viridiplantae; Streptophyta; Magnoliopsida; Malpighiales; Euphorbiaceae. The record is from RNAcentral.
UAAAUAAAUAAAUAAAUAAAUAAUCCUCAAUGCUCAGUAAUAGAGAAGCCAAAGCUACUUAUCUGCAGCAGAACAAUUCCACGUAGCCAACACCCAUGCAGCCUUGAGAGAGAAAGAGUCUGAAUUUCCUAUAACAAAGGCGAGAAUUUAGGGAGAAGAACAUCUUCUACCAAGUACACAGCCCUCAAGAAGGAGAAAAAAAUUGGGUAUUUAGACACUGAUGUGUGUUUCUGAAUAUUUAUAAGUAGAGGGUUCAGCAGGUUCAAUGUAUGGGAAGAUCUGGUGGGUCCAAACUGACAUUUUACAAGCUUUGAUUCCACACUUUAUGCACACUCCAAUGUCUCAACAAGAUUAAUUCGCCAUAUAAGGGAUAGUACCAACAAAAAUUUGAGUUGGCAGUACAAUUUUUUUAUUCUCCAGGAGAGUUG